Molecule: non-coding RNA, 131 nt
Filed under: Hydrogenibacillus schlegelii
Lineage: Bacteria; Bacillati; Bacillota; Bacilli; Thermicanales; Thermicanaceae
Description: c-di-GMP sequence
Rfam family: c-di-GMP-I riboswitch aptamer
About the family: GEMM was predicted in a large-scale screen for bacterial structured RNA regulatory elements. Genes associated with GEMM are involved in a diverse array of functions, including chemotaxis regulation, signal transduction, secretion and chitin.
Source: Rfam by way of RNAcentral
AUCCGCUCAGGGCAAACGGCGCGAAAGCGCCGGGCGCAAAGCUAUAGGGGCUAAAGUCUCGUCGGGGCGACCGAUGGCACGUGAAACGGAACGCGGCAUCGCCGACGGGGCCAUGCCAGCCAGCUGCCGGA